UGGGGAAUCUUGGACAAUGGGCGCAAGCCUGAUCCAGCCAUGCCGCGUGAGUGAUGAAGGCCUUAGGGUCGUAAAGCUCUUUCGCCAGAGAUGAUAAUGACAGUAUCUGGUAAAGAAACCCCGGCUAACUCCGUGCCAGCAGCCGCGGUAAUACGGAGGGGGUUAGCGUUGUUCGGAAUUACUGGGCGUAAAGCGCACGUAGGCGGAUUAGACAGUCAGGGGUGAAAUCCCAGGGCUCAACCCUGGAACUGCCUCUCUGAAACUGCUAGUCUAGAGUUCGAGAGAGGUGAGUGGAAUUCCGAGUGUAGAGGUGAAAUUCGUAGAUAUUCGGAGGAACACCAGUGGCGAAGGCGGCUCACUGGCUCGAUACUGACGCUGAGGUGCGAAAGUGUGGGGAGCAAACAGGAUUAGAUACCCUGGUAGUCCACACCGUAAACGAUGAAUGCCAGUCGUCGGGUAGUAUACUAUUCGGUGACACACCUAACGGAUUAAGCAUUCCGCCUGGGGAGUACGGUCGCAAGAUUA
This 525-nucleotide ribosomal RNA is filed under the name uncultured Alphaproteobacteria bacterium. Its description in RNAcentral is "bacterial SSU rRNA". It matches the Rfam family "Bacterial small subunit ribosomal RNA", at positions 355 to 896 of the family's 1533-position model. Lineage: Bacteria; Pseudomonadati; Pseudomonadota; Alphaproteobacteria. The record is from RNAcentral.